UGAGGAAUUUUGCGCAAUGGGGGAAACCCUGACGCAGCAACGCCGCGUGAGUGAUGAAGGCCUUCGGGUCGUAAAGCUCUGUCAAGUGGGAAGAAUCUGUGGUAUGUAAAUAUCAUAUUGCAAUGACGGUACCACUGAAGGAAGCACCGGCUAACUCCGUGCCAGCAGCCGCGGUAAUACGGAGGGUGCAAGCGUUAUUCGGAAUUACUGGGCGUAAAGGGCGCGUAGGCGGCUUUUUAAGUCAGAUGUGAAAGCCCGGAGCUUAACUCCGGAAGUGCAUCUGAAACUAAAAAGCUUGAGUAUGGGAGAGGGAAGUGGAAUUCCUGGUGUAGAGGUGAAAUUCGUAGAUAUCAGGAGGAACACCGGUGGCGAAGGCGACUUCCUGGACCAAUACUGACGCUGAGGCGCGAAGGCGUGGGGAGCAAACA
This 428-nucleotide ribosomal RNA is filed under the name uncultured prokaryote. Its description in RNAcentral is "bacterial SSU rRNA". It matches the Rfam family "Bacterial small subunit ribosomal RNA", at positions 355 to 774 of the family's 1533-position model. The record is from RNAcentral.